Molecule: ribosomal RNA, 468 nt
Filed under: uncultured bacterium
Lineage: Bacteria
Description: partial 16S ribosomal RNA
Rfam family: Bacterial small subunit ribosomal RNA
Source: RNAcentral
GACGAACGCUGGCGGCGUGCUUAACACAUGCAAGUCGAACGGAAAGGCCCUGCUUUUGUGGGGUGCUCGAGUGGCGAACGGGUGAGUAACACGUGAGUAACCUGCCCUUGACUUUGGGAUAACUUCAGGAAACUGGGGCUAAUACCGGAUAGGAGCUCCUGCUGCAUGGUGGGGGUUGGAAAGUUUCGGCGGUUGGGGAUGGACUCGCGGCUUAUCAGCUUGUUGGUGGGGUAGUGGCUUACCAAGGCUUUGACGGGUAGCCGGCCUGAGAGGGUGACCGGCCACAUUGUGACUGAGAGACGGCCCAGACUCCUACGGGAGGCAGCAGUGGCGAAUAUUGCACAAUGGGAGGAAGCCUGAUGCAGCAACGCCGCGUGCGUGAUGACGGCCUUCGGGUUGUAAACCGCUUUCGCCUGUGACGAAGCGUUAGUGACGGUAAUGAGUAAAGAAGCACCGGCUAACUACGUG